GUAGGAUUUCGUGAACAGAGCCUUAUUUCCUGACUAGCUUCCAGAGGAUUCGUUCAUGCCUUAUUUUCCUUAGGGCUGUUACUGGAUAUGGUUCUUCCAAAGAUUCAGAUGACUGGUUGGGCAAAAGACCUUGAGCAAAAUUCUGUACUGUGCAUGCCAGACGUGUUGAGGAACUGAUUUACUCACUGUAAGCAAAAUAGCUGCUCUUGGUUGAAGCACUGGUAAGUUGUUAUUCCUAAUAACAUUUACUUUUUAGCUUUAA
RNAcentral lists this long non-coding RNA (262 nucleotides) under Zonotrichia albicollis (white-throated sparrow). Its description in RNAcentral is "lncRNA (ENSZALG00000001654.1)". Lineage: Eukaryota; Metazoa; Chordata; Aves; Passeriformes; Passerellidae. The record is from RNAcentral.